RNAcentral lists this long non-coding RNA (2275 nucleotides) under Sus scrofa (pig). RNAcentral describes it as "lncRNA (ENSSSCG00060026657.1)". Lineage: Eukaryota; Metazoa; Chordata; Mammalia; Artiodactyla; Suidae. The record is from RNAcentral.
UACAAAGCCUGUGCCGCACAGGAAACGAAGUCAAAGGCUCCCUUUGUCCCCACCCCCUCCCCCCCAAGAGGAGAAAAUCAGCCCCAGCGAGGAUUUUGGAGCUGGACGGGCUGGCGCGAUCCUGGAGAAUCACCCCCGAAGCCUGCGCUCUCCCAGGGAACGCUUUGCCAGGCUCUGAAGAAGCUACGCAGGCUUGGGAGGAAAAGCAGCAGCGGAAAAGCUGUAUGGAGGAAGCAUCUUCUGUAUGUUCCAGCUGAGAGAAUGCCCACACGGCCGAGACAGCAAGAGCAAUGGAGUAAUGGUCUAGGAAACAGCUGAAGUGAGCCAACCCGGGGUUGCUAUCUGCCUGCAAAGCAGCGAUAAAAGGAGCGCAAGGCCGUCUGGUUCAAUUUUUGGAGGAUCCACAGCUAUAGGGCCCAGACGUAAGCUGAAUGUGCUUCUGAGGUUGCAAAAAUUGGCUGUUUCUUUGACCAUAUUAUUCACCUGCCUAACUCACUCCUAGAAAACUGCUAAGGAAGACAUUCAGAAUUGGAAAAGGAGAAAAAGAUCUUAAGCAGCAUUGAGAGAUAUUUUAGUGGUUAAGAGGAUGACCUAGGAGUUCCCGUCGUGGCGCAGUGGUUAAUGAAUCUGACUAGUGAACCAUGAGGUUGCCGGUUCGAUCCCCGGCCUUGCUCAGUGGGCUAAGGAUCUGGCGUUGCCAUGAGCUGUGGUGUAGGUUACAGACGCACUAGGAUCCCGCAUUGCUGUGGCUACAGCUCCAAUUCGACCCCUAGCGUGGGAACUUCCAUAUGCCGUGGGAGCGGUCCAAGAAAUGGCAAAAAGACAAAGAAAAAAAAAGAGGAUGGCCUUCAUGGUUUCGACAUGGACUUAUUCUCAUGACGGUGCUGAAAGUUAGGACACAAAUGCCGUGGGGUGUGGUCCUUGCCCGCCCUGACGUAGCUUCACAAUCCUGUUGGGGGCAACAAAGCUAACACAGGCAUUUAAAACAGUGGCAAGAUGGAGUUCCUGCUGGGGCGCAUCAGGAUCAGCGGCCUCUUUGGAGUCCUGGGACACAGGUUCGAUCCCUGGCCUGACACAGUAGGUUAAGGAUCCAGGGUUGCCACAGCCUCCUGGUGUAGGUUACAACUGUGUCUCAGAUCUGAUCCCUGUCCCAGGAACUCUAUAUGCCAUGGAGCUGCAAAAAAUAAAUGAAUAUGUAAAUAAAUGAAACAGUUCCAAGAGGCCAGGCCCUGCUGUGGAGGAGAGGGUGGAGAAGGCACAGGACAUAGUCCCUUCCCUCCCCGGCCCUAGGGAGUGCCGGGCCCGGGCGUGUCAUUGCUCUGGCCUGGAGUCCUCCUGUGUGUUAAAGGAGUCAAAUGCAAUAAUCUCCUCAAGUUCCUUAGAGCCUUGAUCUUCAGAAUCUAAUUACCACCACCAGUCGGUCUAGUGUAUAACCCAGCAGUAAAGGGAGGGAGGCAGACGGAGGAUGCUGUGAGCCCCCGGGUUCGGGAAGGGCUUGUGUCUCCAUGAACUGGACGGCUGCAGGAAGAACCUCUGCAGAGCUGGGGCUCAGGCUGGACUUGGAAAAGCCGGCAGGAGACCUAGCGAUAAUCGCUAAUCCUGUGAUCGCAAGGUGUGUUUGGAGAACAGGGAGGAGGCCAAACGGUCCCAGCGGUCUGGGAGCGAGAGGGAAGCUGGAAAGUUGGGCUGGGACCAGCUGGCGGGUGUAGAACUCUGGCCUAAGGAGCUAGAGGCUGAGCUUGUGGGUAAAAGGCGGCCAUGGCAGGGCUGAUGGAACAGAGGGCAGGCUGCUCUAGGUGUGUUUCUGGGACAGCGUGGAAGCAGCCCAGCCCUCAUUUUUGGCACAGGUCCUGGCCCCUCCUUGGUGUCAGAAGCUUCAACUCGCUGCUUUUCCCCACUUGGCGGUGCUCAGUCAACCACCGGCAGAGCACUGGGUCAGAAGACAGGGCAAAAGACAAGGAAGUGAUAAACGGGGACAGUGGUAAUUGCAUUAAAUUUUUUUUUAUUUUGCUAAAAUAUACAUAGCAUAACAUUUAAAUUGUAGCCACCUUUAGGGAUACAAUUUGCUGGUAAGUCCACUCACAUUGUUAUACCACGGUCACCACCAUCCCUUUCCAGAACUUUUUUUAUCAUCUCAAAUAGAAACUCUGUACCUGUUAAACAACAACUCCCCAUUCCUCCCUCCUCCCCUGCCCCUGGGAACCACAUUCUACUUGCUGUUUCUAUCAAUUUGCCUGUUUUAGGUACUGCAGAUGAGUAAAUUCAUACAAUGUUU